UGGGGAAUAUUGGACAAUGGGCGCAAGCCUGAUCCAGCCAUGCCGCGCGAGUGAUGAAGGCCCUAGGGUUGUAAAGCUCUUUCACCGGUGAAGAUAAUGACGGUAACCGGAGAAGAAGCCCCGGCUAACUUCGUGCCAGCAGCCGCGGUAAUACGAAGGGGGCUAGCGUUGUUCGGAUUUACUGGGCGUAAAGCGCACGUAGGCGGACUUGUAAGUCAGGGGUGAAAUCCCGGGGCUCAACCCCGUAACUGCCUUUGAUACUGGAAGUCUGGGGUAUGGUGGGGGUGAGUGGAAUUCCGGGUGUAGAGGUGAAAUUCGUAGAUAUUCGGAGGAACACCAGUGGCGAAGGCGGCUCACUGGACCAUUACUGACGCUGAGGUGCGAAAGCGUGGGGAGCAAACAGG
RNAcentral lists this ribosomal RNA (404 nucleotides) under Actinomycetes bacterium. RNAcentral's name for it is "Actinobacteria bacterium partial 16S ribosomal RNA". It matches the Rfam family "Bacterial small subunit ribosomal RNA", at positions 355 to 776 of the family's 1533-position model. Lineage: Bacteria; Bacillati; Actinomycetota; Actinomycetes. The record is from RNAcentral.